CCUACGGGAGGCAGCAGUGAGGAAUAUUGGUCAAUGGACGCAAGCCUGAACCAGCCAUGCCGCGUGCAGGAAGACGGCUCUCUGAGUUUUAAACUGCUUUUGCACGAGGGUAAACGCAGAUACGCGUAUCUGUCUGAAAGUAUCGUACGCAUAAGGAUCGGCUAACUCCGGGCCAGCAGCCGCGGUAAUACGGAGGAUUCAAGCGUUAUCCGGAUUUAUUGGGUUUAAAGGGUGCGUAGGCGGUCGGAUAAGUUAGAGGUGAAAUCCCGGGGCUCAACUUCGGAAUUGCCUCUGAUACUGGUCGGCUAGAGAGUAGGAGCGGUAGGCGGAAUGUAUGGUGUAGCGGUGAAAUGCUUAGAGAUCAUGCAGAACACCGAUUGCGAAGGCAGCUUACCAGACUACUUCUGACGUUGAGGCACGAAAGCGUGGGGAGCAAACAGGAUUAGAUACCCUUGUAGUC
Molecule: ribosomal RNA, 460 nt
Filed under: uncultured bacterium
Lineage: Bacteria
Description: partial 16S ribosomal RNA
Rfam family: Bacterial small subunit ribosomal RNA
Source: RNAcentral